UUGUGUACGGGGCACGGGAAGCAAAUAUCAUUUUAAAAAUUCCCAAUGACAAUGUAGACAUCUGUAAACCAAUUUUUUAGCUUCCCAGGAAAACGAAUAACCUUCCACUCAUUGGGAUAUGGGACAUCAUGACUUUGACGAUGUCGUACUUCAACAACGAGGUCAUAAACACAUGAAUACACGAUGCCUUAGGUAUAUGUAUAUAUACAUAUAGUGGAGAUAUGAGAUUGUAAUACUACAAUGUCGUCCUCAAAGGGCCUCUUCCGGCUCGGCAAGUGACCAGGGGCCCGUUGAGCAGCACCGUCGAAAAACGGCCAUUUAUCUAAGCAUCAACAACUAUGGCAGUCAGAGGAGUUUGGACGCGAAAUUCCAGGUGAAUGUGUCAUGCAGUCUGGGUGCAAGUUUUGACAUCCAUACGCGAAACCAGCUGUUCUUGUGCUUCUCAUAACCGCCUUCCUGGGAUUGCACACAUGAAGAUGUAUCAUAAUCUGAUUACAUAGACUUAAUUGUUUCUACGCCCGCGCACUGAUGGGUCCACCUCGCGUCCUUUCAAGCGCUUUCAGCGUUCCCGCAUUCAUGCCGCAGGGGCACUGGAGAAAUCGUCGCCAUAAUAUAACUUAUGCACAUGUCUGAAAUCAGUUUUCUAUGGUAGGGUACAUGCGGUGUUUUCCUGCGGACAAGGCCCCUACUACCUCAUGCAGCCAGGUUCUGCACCCGACGCGGGAAACACCGAAGCAGCAAGCGAACAGAAAGCUUCUCUAGCCGAUGAUCAUGACGUCGUUCCUGGUAGUGCUGAUGGAAGUGAAGCGGCCGGCGAGAACGCGAGCGAUGGGCCGCAGCAGCCGUCUCUCCAAGAGCAGCGCUCACAGACAAGCCGUACACACUCUGGGCGUAACAAAAGGCGUGGUUGGAGUGCGGUUGAACUAUGCACCUUAGCUUUGCUACACGCGGUUCAUGGAAAUAAAUGGUGAGAUAUGUAAACACGAUAACUGCCGUCGGGUGAAAUGCUAUAUGCACUUAAGUCCCAACCCAUACGUGGACUCAAUCCUUUGCAUUUUUUUGUGAAG
This 1067-nucleotide long non-coding RNA is filed under the name Volvox carteri. RNAcentral's name for it is "long non-coding RNA (VCAR_LNC000497)". The record is from RNAcentral. Lineage: Eukaryota; Viridiplantae; Chlorophyta; Chlorophyceae; Chlamydomonadales; Volvocaceae.